This 497-nucleotide ribosomal RNA is filed under the name uncultured bacterium. RNAcentral describes it as "partial 16S ribosomal RNA". It matches the Rfam family "Bacterial small subunit ribosomal RNA", at positions 28 to 507 of the family's 1533-position model. The record is from RNAcentral.
GACGAACGCUGGCGGCGUGCCUAAUACAUGCAAGUAGAACGCUGAAGAGAGGAGCUUGCUCUUCUUGGAUGAGUUGCGAACGGGUGAGUAACGCGUAGGUAACCUGCCUUGUAGCGGGGGAUAACUAUUGGAAACGAUAGCUAAUACCGCAUAACAACGGCUGACACAUGUCCUUUAUUUGAAAGGGGCACUUGCUCCACUACAAGAUGGACCUGCGUUGUAUUAGCUAGUAGGUGAGGCAAUGGCUCACCUAGGCGACGAUACAUAGCCGACCUGAGAGGGUGGUCGGCCACACUGGGACUGAGACACGGCCCAGGCUCCUACGGGAGGCAGCAGUAGGGAAUCUUCGGCAAUGGGGGCAACCCUGACCGAGCAACGCCGCGUGAAGGAAGAAGGGUUUCUGAUCGUAAAUCUCUGUUGUAAGUCAAGAACGGAUGUGAGAGUGGAAAGUUCACACUGUGACGGUAGCUUACCAGAAAGGGACGGCUAACUACGUG